UGUGGUGCUGAGGAUGGAACCCAGCGUCCCACACAUGCCAGAAUAUCUCCUCUUGCUGGUGAGUGCCCAAGGAGCUGGCAUUGCUUAUAAGACAAGCACAAUAAGGGAACUUAAACAUCCACUGCAAAGGAAACUUAAGCAUCCACAUCUCUGCAACCCAGGAUGUUCUGAGGAAGUCCUUCCCGAGGUUCUGUUGAAGGAGUAAACAGGACCAACAUGCCUGCUUGGAAAAGCAUACUCAUUAGGUAUAUUCUUUUCCAGCUGUCAGCUCUCUACAGUGGAGGGUUCAAUCUAAAGCAUCAAAUCCUUGAUGAGCUUAUGGUAGAAUUAAGGACUAUCUUCAGAUAGGCAGAGUAAGGUUAAAGGUGGCUGCUAAGCAAGAUAAGAAUCCCAUGCUAUAUCCAUAGAGAAUAAUAAGAAGGUGAUGCAAAAGCUCAGUCACCUAAGAGAAGUGUUACUCCAGACCCUGUUCUGGAAGGAUUGAAAAGAAAGCUCCAUGGUAAAUCUUUAGGAAGAAGUAACAGUAGGCAAGGGAGAGUCCAGGUUUGCUUGGGGAAGUGGAAGCAGGAAAGGCAGUCUCUUAAGAAGUAAGGCUAUCCAGUUAGGCUAAUGCAUUUCUAGAGGUAAACUGCUCAGCAGGCAGUCAAGAAAAACUCAGAGACAUUCACUUUGAAAUGCAAAAUUGUGGAGCAUGGGUAGCCAGCCAUAACUGGACUCUGGUUCCUGACUACUCUUAAUGAAAAGACUCAAGAAAUAUCACUUCAUAAUAAAAAUCCACACUGCAAAUCUUUCUUUGGGAAGAAUCUUGAAUUACUUGACCGCAAAGACCCCAUUCAACGCAAAGAUUAUGGUUUUUAAGGUAUCAAAUAUUGACAGACAAAUAACAUGUACUCAAUAAAUUUUUGCCCAAAUGAA
This is a non-coding RNA of Marmota flaviventris (yellow-bellied marmot), 915 nucleotides long. The record is from RefSeq and is a predicted model, not a curated record. NCBI's taxonomy places the organism in Eukaryota, Metazoa, Chordata, Mammalia, Rodentia, Sciuridae.